RNAcentral lists this non-coding RNA (21 nucleotides) under Caenorhabditis elegans. Lineage: Eukaryota; Metazoa; Nematoda; Chromadorea; Rhabditida; Rhabditidae. The record is from RNAcentral.
UGUUCUGAACUACUUUUUUAA